AUUAAUACGAAGACGAAAAAGUAGUAAUUAGGUUUGGUUUUUAUAAGAGAGAAAUGCCUAGUGGUGCAAGCAUUUUUAAAAACCGCUAAUGAAUUCAUUUUCUAAGUGAGACUAAUCAUCUCCGCAAUCCUGCGUUAAAGGGAAUAAGAGCCAGAUUUUUAUCUGGAACUAAGGUGGUACCACGGUUAAAUAUAAAUCGUCCUUUGA
Molecule: non-coding RNA, 207 nt
Filed under: Mycoplasmatota bacterium
Lineage: Bacteria; Bacillati; Mycoplasmatota
Description: Tenericutes bacterium T-box sequence
Rfam family: T-box leader
About the family: Uncharged tRNA acts as the effector for transcription antitermination of genes in the T-box leader family. T-boxes are found upstream of many aminoacyl-tRNA synthetase genes and some amino acid biosynthetic genes usually in Gram-positive bacteria. The anticodon of a specific tRNA base pairs to a specifier sequence within the T-box motif, and the NCCA acceptor tail of the tRNA base pairs to a conserved bulge in the T-box antiterminator hairpin.
Source: RNAcentral